Molecule: ribosomal RNA, 1396 nt
Filed under: metagenome
Description: bacterial LSU rRNA
Rfam family: Bacterial large subunit ribosomal RNA
Source: RNAcentral
AAAUCCUGAGAUGUGAUGCCGAGCCGAUUGUGGCGAAGUGGGUGAUCCUAUGCUGCCGAGAAAAGCCUCUAGUGAGUGUCGUGGCGGCCCGUACCCCAAACCGACUCAGGUGGUCAGGUAGAGAAUACCAAGGCGAUCGGGUGAACUGUGGUUAAGGAACUCGGCAAAUUGCCCCCGUAACUUCGGGAGAAGGGGGGCCUCCGCUGGUGAUCAGACUUGCUUUGUGAGCUGGUGGGGGUCGCAGAGGCCAGGGGGAAGCGACUGUUUACUAAAAACACAGGUCCGUGCGAAGUCGUAAGACGAUGUAUACGGACUGACGCCUGCCCGGUGCUGGAACGUUAAGGGGACCGGUUAGCGCAUCUUCGGGUGUGCGAGGCUGAGAACUUAAGCGCCAGUAAACGGCGGUGGUAACUAUAACCAUCCUAAGGUAGCGAAAUUCCUUGUCGGGUAAGUUCCGACCUGCACGAAUGGCGUAACGACUUCCCCGCUGUCUCAACCGCAGACCCGGCGAAAUUGCACUACGAGUAAAGAUGCUCGUUACGCGCAGCAGGACGGAAAGACCCCGGGACCUUCACUACAGCUUGACAUUGGCGUUUGGAACGUCUUGUGUAGGAUAGGUGGGAGACUGUGAAGCUGUCACGCUAGUGGUGGUGGAGUCAUUGGUGAAAUACCACUCUGGUCGUUUUGAACGUCUAACUUCGGUCCGUGAUCCGGAUCAGGGACAGUGUCUGGUGGGUAGUUUAACUGGGGCGGUUGCCUCCUAAAGAGUAACGGAGGCGCCCAAAGGUUCCCUCAGCCUGGUUGGUAAUCAGGUGUCGAGUGUAAGUGCACAAGGGAGCUUGACUGUGAGACCGACGGGUCGAGCAGGAGCGAAAGCUGGGACUAGUGAUCCGGCGGUGGCAUGUGGAAGCGCCGUCGCUCAACGGCUAAAAGGUACCCCGGGGAUAACAGGCUGAUCUUCCCCAAGAGUCCAUAUCGACGGGAUGGUUUGGCACCUCGAUGUCGGCUCGUCGCAUCCUGGGGCUGGAGUAGGUCCCAAGGGUUGGGCUGUUCGCCCAUUAAAGCGGUACGCGAGCUGGGUUUAGAACGUCGCGAGACAGUUCGGUCCCUAUCCGCUGCGCUCGCAGGAGACUUGAAAGGAGCUGUCCCUAGUACGAGAGGACCGGGACGGACGAACCUCUGGUGUGCCAGUUGUUCCGCCAGGAGCAUGGCUGGUUGGCUACGUUCGGAAGGGAUAACCGCUGAAAGCAUCUAAGCGGGAAGCUCGCCUUGAGAUGAGGUCUCCCACCACGAGAGUGGGUAAGGCCCCCGGGAGACGACCGGGUUGAUAGGCCGGAGGUGGAAGCAUGGUAACGUGUGGAGCUGACCGGUACUAAUAGGCCGAGGACUUGACCUC